UACGAAGGGGGCUAGCGUUGUUCGGAAUUACUGGGCGUAAAGCGCACGUAGGCGGAUUGUUAAGUCAGAGGUGAAAUCCCGGAGCUCAACUUCGGAACUGCCUUUGAUACUGGCAAUCUAGAGUCCGGAAGAGGUUAGUGGAAUUCCCAGUGUAGAGGUGAAAUUCGUAGAUAUUGGGAAGAACACCAGUGGCGAAGGCGGCUAACUGGUCCGGUACUGACGCUGAGGUGCGAAAGCGUGGGUAGCGAACAGG
RNAcentral lists this ribosomal RNA (253 nucleotides) under uncultured bacterium. RNAcentral's name for it is "partial 16S ribosomal RNA". It matches the Rfam family "Bacterial small subunit ribosomal RNA", at positions 524 to 776 of the family's 1533-position model. The record is from RNAcentral.